GCAGUCGAGCGAGCCGAACUAAUUGAUUACCUUCGGGUAUGAAGUUAGGGAAGCGAGCGGCGGAUGGGUGAGUAACACGUGGGUAACCUACCCUAUAGUCUGGGAUACCACUUGGAAACAGGUGCUAAUACCGGAUAAAAGGAGAGAUCACAUGAUUUCUUUUUGAAAGGCGGCGUAAGCUGUCGCUAAAGGAUGGACCCGCGGUGCAUUAGCUAGUUGGUAAGGUAACGGCUUACCAAGGCAACGAUGCAUAGCCGAGUUGAGAGACUGAUCGGCCACAUUGGGACUGAGACACGGCCCAAACUCCUACGGGAGGCAGCAGUAGGGAAUCUUCCACAAUGGACGCAAGUCUGAUGGAGCAACGCCGCGUGAGUGAAGAAGGUUUUCGGAUCGUAAAGCUCUGUUGUUGGUGAAGAAAGAUAGUGAGAGUAACUGCUCAUUAUUUGCCGGUAAUCAACCAGAAAGUCACGGCUAACUACGUGCCAGCAGCCGCGGUAAUACGUAGGUGGCAAGCGUUGUCCGGAUUUAUUGGGCGUAAAGCGAGCGCAGGCGGAAAGAUAAGUCAGAUGUGAAAGCCCUCGGCUUAACCGAGGAAUAGCAUCGGAAACUGUCUUUCUUGAGUGCAGAAGAG
This 631-nucleotide ribosomal RNA is filed under the name Lactobacillus sp. JCM 7524. RNAcentral's name for it is "bacterial SSU rRNA". It matches the Rfam family "Bacterial small subunit ribosomal RNA", at positions 57 to 656 of the family's 1533-position model. The record is from RNAcentral. Lineage: Bacteria; Bacillati; Bacillota; Bacilli; Lactobacillales; Lactobacillaceae.